This 253-nucleotide ribosomal RNA is filed under the name uncultured bacterium. RNAcentral's name for it is "partial 16S ribosomal RNA". It matches the Rfam family "Bacterial small subunit ribosomal RNA", at positions 524 to 776 of the family's 1533-position model. The record is from RNAcentral.
UACGAAGGGUGCAAGCGUUGUUCGGAAUUAUUGGGCGUAAAGCGCGCGCAGGCGGGUCAGCAAGUCAGAUGUGAAAUCUCGGGGCUUAACCCCGAAAGUGCGUCUGAAACUACUAACCUAGAAUAUCGGAGAGGAAGAUGGAAUUUCGCAUGUAGGGGUAAAAUCCGUAGAGAUGCGAAGGAACACCAGAGGCGAAAGCGAUUUUCUGGACGAUUAUUGACGCUGAGGCGCGAAAGCGUGGGUAGCAAACAGG